ACAUCCGUAGCUUGUUUAGCAAGUCUCUUGUGAAAUCUCAUAUCUCAAGUAUGAGGCGUGCAAGAGAUACUGUUUUACUAGAGAUCGGUAGGUGUAAGAAGUACACGAGAGGUAGUGGUUAAAUACGUUAAUCUUUCGUGGACUCACAAUUAGCGAAGGCAUCUUACAAGAACGAGUCUGACAGUGAGGGAUGAAGGCCAGGGGCGCAAAACGGAUUAGAUACCCGUGUAGUCCUGGCAGUAAACACUGCUCACUAAACAUUGGGGCCUCUUCGGGAGGUUUCAGUGCUGAAGCGAAGGCGUAGAGUGAGCUACCUGGGAAGUAUAGUCGCAAGAUCGAAACUUAAAGGAAUUGGCGGGGGAGCACAAGCCGA
RNAcentral lists this ribosomal RNA (373 nucleotides) under uncultured euryarchaeote. Its description in RNAcentral is "bacterial SSU rRNA". It matches the Rfam family "Archaeal small subunit ribosomal RNA", at positions 515 to 889 of the family's 1478-position model. Lineage: Archaea; Methanobacteriati; Methanobacteriota. The record is from RNAcentral.